AUCGUUUGUUGCAUCACUGUAGCGUAAUGGACUUCUAAUUCAUAGGUCGUGGGUUCGAAUCCCACCUGAGAUA
Non-coding RNA from Trichonephila clavata, 73 nucleotides. The record is from the annotation of a GenBank genome assembly. NCBI's taxonomy places the organism in Eukaryota, Metazoa, Arthropoda, Arachnida, Araneae, Nephilidae.